This 465-nucleotide ribosomal RNA is filed under the name uncultured bacterium. RNAcentral's name for it is "partial 16S ribosomal RNA". It matches the Rfam family "Bacterial small subunit ribosomal RNA", at positions 28 to 507 of the family's 1533-position model. The record is from RNAcentral.
GACGAACGCUGGCGGCGUGCUUAACACAUGCAAGUCGAGCGAGGCCCCUCCUUCGGGAGGGUGUCCUAGCGGCGAACGGGUGAGUAACACGUGGCCAACCUGCCCUCAGCUCUGGGAUAACUCCGGGAAACCGGGGCUAAUACCGGAUACGACCUCCACGGGCAUCUGCGGAGGUGGAAAGUUUUUCGGCUGAGGAUGGGCCCGCGGCCUAUCAGCUAGUUGGUGGGGUAGUGGCCCACCAAGGCGACGACGGGUAGCCGGCCUGAGAGGGCGACCGGCCACACUGGGACUGAGACACGGCCCAGACUCCUACGGGAGGCAGCAGUGGGGAAUAUUGCGCAAUGGGCGAAAGCCUGACGCAGCGACGCCGCGUGAGGGACGAAGGCCUUCGGGUUGUAAACCUCUUUCAGCAGGGACGAAGCGAAAGUGACGGUACCUGCAGAAGAAGCACCGGCCAACUACGUG